RNAcentral lists this ribosomal RNA (1241 nucleotides) under metagenome. Its description in RNAcentral is "bacterial LSU rRNA". It matches the Rfam family "Bacterial large subunit ribosomal RNA", at positions 1564 to 2815 of the family's 2925-position model. The record is from RNAcentral.
UGAGUACGAGAUGCUACGGCAUCGAAGCAGUCUAUGUCAUACUUCCAAGAAAAGCUUGCACUGUCAUAAACAAAGGAUGCCUGUACCAUAACCGACACAGGUGGGUAGGUAGAGUAUACUAAGGGGCGCGAGAUAACUCUCUCUAAGGAACUCGGCAAAAUGACUCCGUAACUUCGGGAGAAGGAGUGCCUUAUUUCUAAGGUUGCAAUAACAAGAUCCAAGCAACUGUUUACCAAAAACACAGGUCUCCGCUAAGUCGUAAGACGAUGUAUGGGGGCUGACGCCUGCCCAGUGCCAGAAGGUUAAAGAAGUUGGUUAGCAUUAGCGAAGCUGAUAACUGAAGCCCUGGUGAACGGCGGCCGUAACUAUAACGGUCCUAAGGUAGCGAAAUUCCUUGUCGGGUAAGUUCCGACCCGCACGAAAGGCGUAAUGAUUUGGAUACUGUCUCGGAGAGGGGCUCGGUGAAAUAGACUUGUCUGUGAAGAUGCGGACUACCUGCACCUGGACAGAAAGACCCUAUGAAGCUUUACUGUAACUUGAGAUUGAAAUUGGACUUUAUUUGCGCAGUAUAGGUGGGAGGCGUUGAGAAUAAUCUUGCGGGAUUGUUGGAGCCAUCAGUGAGAUACCACUCUUGUAAUGUUAGAUUUCUAACUUUGUAUCAUUAUCUGGUCAAAGAACAGUUUCAGGCGGGCAGUUUGACUGGGGCGGUCGCCUCCCAAAGGGUAACGGAGGCGCACAAAGGUUUCCUCUGAACGGGUAGAAAUCGUAUCUAGAGUGUAAAGGCAUAAGGAAGCUUGACUGUGAGACCUACAAGUCGAGCAGGGACGAAAGUCGGUCUUAGUGAUCUGACGGUGCUGAGUGGAAAGGCCGUCACUCAACGGAUAAAAGUUACUCUAGGAUAACAGGCUGAUCUCCCCCAAGAGUUCACAUCGACGGGGAGGUUUGGCACCUCGAUGUCGGCUCACCGCAUCCUGGGGCGGUAGUCCGUCCCAAGGGUUGGGCUGUUCGCCCAUGAAAGCGGUACGCGAGCUGGGUUCAGAACGUCGUGAGACAGUUCGGUCCAUAUCCGGUGUAGGCGUUAGAAUAUUGAGAGGAGCCUUCUCUAGUACGAGAGGACCGAGAAGGACAUACCUCUGGUGUACCAGUUAUCGUGCCAACGGUAAACGCUGGGUAGCUAUGUGUGGAGUGGAUAACCGCUGAAAGCAUCUAAGUGGGAAGCCCACCUCAAGAUAAGUAUUCCC